Molecule: ribosomal RNA, 433 nt
Filed under: uncultured bacterium
Lineage: Bacteria
Description: partial 16S ribosomal RNA
Rfam family: Bacterial small subunit ribosomal RNA
Source: RNAcentral
AACGAACGCUGGCGGCAUGCCUAACACAUGCAAGUCGAACGAGACCUUCGGGUCUAGUGGCGCACGGGUGCGUAACGCGUGGUAACCUGCCCUUAGGUUCGGAAUAACUCCCCGAAAGGGGUGCUAAUACCGGAUAAUGUCUUCGGACCAAAGAUUUAUCGCCUUUGGAUGGGCCCGCGUUGGAUUAGCUAGUUGGUAGGGUAAAAGCCUACCAAGGCGACGAUCCAUAGCUGGUCUGAGAGGAUGAUCAGCCACACUGGGACUGAGACACGGCCCAGACUCCUACGGGAAGCAGCAGUGGGGAAUAUUGGACAAUGGGCGAAAGCCUGAUCCAGCAAUGCCGCGUGAGUGAUGAAGGCCUUAGGGUUGUAAAGCUCUUUUACCCGGGAUGAUAAUGACAGUACCGGGAGAAUAAGCUCCGGCUAACUCCGUG